RNAcentral lists this ribosomal RNA (433 nucleotides) under uncultured bacterium. RNAcentral's name for it is "partial 16S ribosomal RNA". It matches the Rfam family "Bacterial small subunit ribosomal RNA", at positions 28 to 507 of the family's 1533-position model. The record is from RNAcentral.
GACGAACGCUGGCGGCAUGCCUAACACAUGCAAGUCGAACGGGAACCCCCGUCGUAGGGGCGCAGUGGCGCGUGAGUGGGGGGAACCUGCGCAUAGUUCCCGCAUAACUCCCCUAACUGGGUGCUAAUAGCGGAUAAUCUCUUCGUACCAAAGAUGGCUCGCCGUUGGAUGGGCCCGCGUUGGAUUGGUUAGUUGGUAGGGUAAAAGCCUGCCCAGGAGGGGAUGCAUAGCUGGUCUGAGAGGAUGACCAGCCACGCUGGGACUGAGACCCGGCCCAGACUCGUACGGGAGGGAGGAGUGGGGAAUAUUGGACACUGGGGGAAGGCGUGAUGCAGCAAUGCCGGGUGAGUGAUGAAGGGCUUAGGGUUGUAAAGCUCUUUUACCCGGGAUGAUAAUGACGGUACCGGGAGAAUAAGCUCCGGCUAACUCCGUG